This 506-nucleotide ribosomal RNA is filed under the name uncultured bacterium. RNAcentral's name for it is "partial 16S ribosomal RNA". It matches the Rfam family "Bacterial small subunit ribosomal RNA", at positions 29 to 523 of the family's 1533-position model. The record is from RNAcentral.
AGUGAACGCUGGCGGUAGGCCUAACACAUGCAAGUCGAACGGCAGCACAGGAGAGCUUGCUCUCUGGGUGGCGUGUGGCGGACGGGGGAGGAAUCAAUUGGAAUCUACUCUGUUGUGGGGGAUAACGUAGGGAAACUUACGCUAAUACCGCAUACGACCUACGGGUGAAAGCAGGGGACGUUCGGGCUUUGCGCGACUGAAUGAGCCGAUGUCGGAUUAGCUAGUUGGCGGGGGAAAGGCCCACCAAGGGGACGAUUCGUAGCUGGUCCGGGAGGAGGAGCAGACACAAUGGAACUGAGACACGGUCCAGAAUGGUACGGGAGGAAGCAGUGGAGAAUAUUGGAAAAUGGGCGCAAGCCUGAUCCAGCCAUACCGCGUAGGUGGAGAAGGCCUUCGGGUUGUAAAGCCCUUUUGUUGGGAAAGAAAUCCAGCUGGCUAAUACCCGGUUGGGAUGACGGUACCCAAAGAAUAAGCACCGGCUAACUUCGUGCCAGCCGCCGCCGUAA